CGGGAAACCGGGGCUAAUACCGGAUAACAUUUUGAACCGCAUGGUUCGAAAUUGAAAGGCGGCUUCGGCUGUCACUUAUGGAUGGACCCGCGUCGCAUUAGCUAGUUGGUGAGGUAACGGCUCACCAAGGCAACGAUGCGUAGCCGACCUGAGAGGGUGAUCGGCCACACUGGGACUGAGACACGGCCCAGACUCCUACGGGAGGCAGCAGUAGGGAAUCUUCCGCAAUGGACGAAAGUCUGACGGAGCAACGCCGCGUGAGUGAUGAAGGCUUUCGGGUCGUAAAACUCUGUUGUUAGGGAAGAACAAGUGCUAGUUGAAUAAGCUGGCACCUUGACGGUACCUAACCAGAAAGCCACGGCUAACUACGUGCCAGCAGCCGCGGUAAUACGUAGGUGGCAAGCGUUAUCCGGAAUUAUUGGGCGUAAAGCGCGCGCAGGUGGUUUCUUAAGUCUGAUGUGAAAGCCCACGGCUCAACCGUGGAGGGUCAUUGGAAACUGGGAGACUUGAGUGCAGAAGAGGAAAGUGGAAUUCCAUGUGUAGCGGUGAAAUGCGUAGAGAUAUGGAGGAACACCAGUGGCGAAGGCGACUUUCUGGUCUGUAACUGACACUGAGGCGCGAAAGCGUGGGGAGCAAACAGGAUUAGAUACCC
RNAcentral lists this ribosomal RNA (652 nucleotides) under Bacillus anthracis (anthrax bacterium). RNAcentral's name for it is "bacterial SSU rRNA". It matches the Rfam family "Bacterial small subunit ribosomal RNA", at positions 150 to 787 of the family's 1533-position model. The record is from RNAcentral. Lineage: Bacteria; Bacillati; Bacillota; Bacilli; Caryophanales; Bacillaceae.